Homo sapiens (human) is the source of this 1732-nucleotide long non-coding RNA. RefSeq lists it as uncharacterized. NCBI's taxonomy places the organism in Eukaryota, Metazoa, Chordata, Mammalia, Primates, Hominidae. The record is from RefSeq and is marked validated. The transcript is spliced from 2 exons.
CUCUUCACUACAGGCUCCGUGGAAGGAACUCGCAUCAGGCCAGCUGAGAAAGCCAGUUUGACAUUCACCUGUGGCAGACCUGGGUUUUGACUGAACCGCUUGCUCCUUGAGGCCCGAGGCCCUGAGGACUCAUCUCUAUAGCCCCUGCAUCUGGCCAGGACUUGGUUGCAGUAGGUGCUUGAUAAACCUAUGCUAAGUAUAAAAUGCCACCUAACUUGUUUCGCUCAUCUUAUCUUUAUUACACUUUCCUCUUUUUCCAGAAAUGACUUCUGGCAACUGACAGGCUCCACGUUGAGUGUUCACACUGUGCCCAAUUCUGCCCUGAGCACUUUGCUUGGUUUCUCCACAACAAUAUUGUGAUCAGUAUAAUUACUGUUAUUCCCAUUUUAUAGAUGAGAAAAAUAGUAAUGGAGGAAAUGGAAGGAAAAAGGAUGGCCAUAAGUUGGAGGCAGGUAUGUUAACAGUGUCCCUACUUGCAGCAGGCGGGCAAGACAUAUAGCUCAAGGUUUUCCAGAAACCUGACCAAUGAUAGGAAAUGGGUCGGCGAUAAUAUUCAUAGAGUCCAGAAGAUAAAAGCAAACUGAUUGCUCAGAAGACACACAAAUGGCCCCUAUCUAACGCAUGUGGCCUUGGACAAGUCACUUCUCUCUCAUUCUCUAUCUUCUGUACAAAGGGAGUGAUUACAAUAAUGUCCCCAUCACAGGGCACUUAUGCAGGUCAAGGAAGUAGACAAAUGCAGCAGUCACUGUGCCUAGAACCCAGAAGAUGCUGUAUCAAUGUUCAUUCUCCUGUCUUUCUUGCGGUCUUUUGUUCUCCCUCCAUUUACUGAAGGCAGAGUCUUGGAGUGUGGGUGUUUAACUAUAAAGUCAUUGGCAACCAAGCAGCUGCCCAACCAGCUCAUUAUGACCUAAAAAGAAAAAAGGAGCUUUGCAAGGAAGCUUUGCAAGCACGCCAGCUCCUGAAUUUCAUGAGCAGUGGGCAGCUGAAUGGUGAGUUCUCGCCUGAGCUUGGCUUGAAAUGCACGUAAGAAUGAAAGGGGCCUCCAGCACAGUCCACCUCUUGCCACUCUGUUAUAGUGCUGUGCCCUGGGAUAUUCAGGAAAGUUACGCUGUUCCAUCAUCUCCUGCAGCCGAGAAACACAAUUGAUUUUCCUGGCCUCAUUUCUGUUAUAAAGAACAAUUUCCCCCAGGGAUCCCCAGAGAACUAAAAUGGAGAAAAUGUCAUUCAUAUUUUACCAUGCAAGCCAAAGCCUAAUUGUUCACUGGACAAUAGAUACAAGCUGAAUGCCUAGCCCUUCGCUGGCCCUGGGCCAGGCACAUGGGAGUCAGGGAUGACGUAUACGUGGUGUCGGCUCUCAGGAAAGACUCAUAGAAGGCAAGGUGAAAGACCCAAAUUCAUGGAAGAGAAGUGAGUCACACAGGGAGCCAGUGGCAGAGCCACACCCCACAGAGCAAUCAACAUGCUCUACUCUGCAGACCUGCAACAGGGAGGGAAGCCAGACUCUGAUGCAAGAAGGAAAGACCAUGUGCUGGCUCAGUGUGUGCAGCCUGGACUGAGCUACUGAACUCUAAAUCCAAGGAUGACUAAUGUAAGCCUAAAGGGUAAUCUGCAAAUACUGCUCCAUUAAUAUUCAAUGAUAAAUGAUAUUGCUUUAGAAUCAAAUUCACAUAAACAGAAGCUUCAGCUGUAUGUCCGCACCCUGGGAACAUUAAAUUGUAAGCCACGUCUUGUA